UUAGGGAGUGACAGCACAAUCAACCAAUUAGGUUUCGAGUUCCAUUUUGAUGGGCGGCAUUUAGAAAGGCUUAUUUUAUUUUUAAAAUGUGUGAAAAUUCACUGUUAAUAUCGGCGAAAAUGACAUGAAAGAGGAGUUUCACCCAGUAUUUAGCCAUAAUAGAAAUAGAUACUCAGAAGACUGUUUAAAAUCCUUAAAUCAUGCUUUUAUUUCUUGUUUUUACUUUUCACUCUGAGCGCCGCCAUGUUGAAGUGACGUCAUGGAAUCGCAAUCGUGACAGCUCUUGAGAAACUCUGACUUUGCAAGUAGGAUUCAGAGAGUUGGAGAGCUGUUAAACUUAUCUUUCCCACUUGGUCAUGAAUGCUGCAUAAAUCUAUCACGGUACAGUGAUACAUGGGACAGAAGGAGCAAAUAGUGGAUUUGGGAUUUGCUGAUGGAGAAAAUGAAAGAAUUAGGAGCAGGCCUUCACUGGCCCUGUUGGCAUCGACUAUUUGCGAUCGGCGUGCUCACCCGUAGCCAGCGACAGGCGAGCUGUUCCUCCGCUGGUUCAGGAGAAUCCCGUCUGUCCCGGCGCUGAGCAGUCAGUAUAGAGCUGGGUGGGAGGAGGCCGCCCCCUGCCCCGAUCGGUAGAAAAAACUGGAAACCUGGAGGACGUGGAGGAGGAGAAGCCUCACCCUCCAGGAAAUUGCAUCAUACGGCAAUGCCUUCUGGGUAAGUUCUCUUACUGAAAUCUAGACUGAUGAUUCAAUCCCUCAGGCAUCCAAGAACCUCUUCUAACAAACUUCCCUUCAGCUGAUUAUGUAUGGGAUCUGUCUAGAACACGGCAAUGGGGAUUCAAGAACAAAUUAAGGAGAAUGUGUUAAAACCAAUAUUGGAACACAGCCCAGGAGGGAGUGUGUUUAAUUUCCCUCUUGUCUGUGAUGGGUGUGUGUUAAAGCUCACCCUGGCCUGAGGGGGCGACAAGGGACCGCAGCUGGAAGAGGAGUGUUGAGGAGAGGGAGGAGAUGAGGGACACACACUGAGGUCUGGUUUUGAGGAUGUGGGAGAGUCCACGAUGUCUGCAAACACAAAAAACAGGAAUAAAAGCCCAGCUCUUUGUAAUGUGCGUAUAUGUAUUAUGUAAAACAAUAUUUAAAUCCUAUUGGAAUUUUAAUAAUAUUUACAUAUUCAAAGGAGAAAAAUCAAAAUUUGAAUGCAAAAGAUCCUAUUUUCUACUGUUAGGCUGUUAAAAUAUGUUUUGCUUAAGUCUAAGCAAAGGGUUCUGAAUAAACCUAUACAUUUAUGGCAUAUUUUAUGCUUUCCCACAUUUAUUUUUUAAUAAAAGAUACUGUAUAUUAAAAAAAUUACCCAGUAUUAAUCCUACACUUGGUAUAACAUGUAAGUAGGUUUACAGUUUCAAGCAGGCACUUAAUACACCCCAUGCUAUAUUUUAAAUUGAGCUUCUCAAUAUAAACAAACGAGUAAUUUAAACCGCCCGGGAUGGCGUGGUCCCACGGUAACGAGUUUCAUAUCGGACCACCAGCCGCUACUAUGUAGUGAGCGCGUGUAGUGAGCGCUGGGGCUUUAACCACACAGUACUAACAGAAAAACAGAUAAAUAAUUCUGACAUUUCUUUCAAGAAAACAGUAGAACGCACAAGAGUACUAUAUAAUUUCUAAAACACUAAAGUGCACAUCUGUAUUCGGGCGUAACUACAGACUUGCAUAUGAGAUACAGGGCGGAGACUGAGUAAAUCAGAGGCGUAUUUCAGUUAAGCACGAUUCCGAACCGUGAACUAAUGCUAGUGUUUCCUGUGCAAUAUUGAUUGAUUGAGAAGCAGAGAAUGCCAGACGAGUGUGUGCUUGGUCUUAGGGCUACCGGUAUGUUAAUUAUAAACUUAUUUAUAUUUAAAUCCAUUCAGAUUUUAUUCAAAUGCAAUUUGACAGCCCUAAUACGUAUAUGAUUUGUGUGUGUGU
This is a long non-coding RNA of Pangasianodon hypophthalmus (striped catfish), 1955 nucleotides long. RefSeq lists it as uncharacterized. NCBI's taxonomy places the organism in Eukaryota, Metazoa, Chordata, Actinopteri, Siluriformes, Pangasiidae. The transcript is spliced from 3 exons. The record is from RefSeq and is a predicted model, not a curated record.